GAUGAACGCUAGCGGCAGGCUUAAUGCAUGCAAGUCGUGGGGCAGCGCAGGUAGCAAUACUGGGCGGCGACCGGCAAACGGGUGCGGAACACGUAUGCAACCUACCUUCAACUGGAGGAUAGCCCGGGGAAACUCGGAUUAAUACUCCAUAACACAGGGAUCCCGCAUGGGAAUAUUGUUAAAGCUACGGCGGUUGAAGAUGGGCAUGCGUUCGAUUAGCUAGUUGGUGUAGGUAACGGCUCACCAAGGCUACGAUCGAUAGGGGGUCUGAGAGGAUGAUCCCCCACACUGGUACUGAGAUACGGACCAGACUCCUACGGGAGCAGCAGUAGGGAAUAUUGGUCAAUGGGCGCAAGCCUGAACCAGCCAUGCCGCGUGCAGGAAGAAGGCCCUCUGGGUUGUAAACUGCUUUUGAUAGGGACAAAUGCCACUUGCGAGUGGAGCUGAGUGUACCUAUAGAAUAAGCACCGGCUAAACUCCGUGCCAGCAGCCG
This 493-nucleotide ribosomal RNA is filed under the name uncultured bacterium. RNAcentral describes it as "bacterial SSU rRNA". It matches the Rfam family "Bacterial small subunit ribosomal RNA", at positions 28 to 517 of the family's 1533-position model. The record is from RNAcentral.